GUAAAUUAAAAUAUUAAAAUUUAUUUUUAAUGAAAUUUUAAUUAAAAUAAUAUUUGUUUUAUUAUAAAAAUGAAAAAUUUAAUUUUAUGAUAGAGAAUUAAGUACUGUAAAGGAAAUUUUUUUUAUGUUUAAAAGAAGUAAAUUUAUGUACCUUGUGCAUCAGGGUUUAUUAAAAAUUUAAUAAUUAUUUAUUUAUCUCGAAUUUAAAAGGGCUAAGUUUAUAUACAUAUUAUUGUUAUAAAAAUAUUUAAAAUAUAAAUUUAGUAAUGAAACGUUAUUCGUUUUUAAAUAUAUCUAGUUUUUUAAGAAAUAAAUUUAAUUUGAUUAAAAAGUUUUAAAAAUUUAAUUAUUAAUUUUUUUGAAUUUUUUAAUAGAUAAUUUUAGGGAUAAGCUUGAAAUUAAAUAAUUUAUAAUUAAAUUAAAAUUUAUAUAAUUUAUAGGAUUAAAAAUUUUUUCUUAUAAAAUUUUGUUAAAAUUUGUUAUAUAUACUUUAAUAUUUUUAUUUAAUUUAAAUUUUUUAUUAAAAUAAUUUGUAUUAUUAUAUAAUAGUUGAAAUUAUGAUAAAAUUAGUAUUAAUAUAUUAGUAUCUUGUAGACGAUAAAGAAAGGUUAUUUAAAGUAAUUCGGCAAAUCUAUCUUUCACCUGUUUAAUAAAAACAUCUCUUUUAGAAUUUAAUUUAAAGUAGGGCCUGCCCACUGAAUUUUUGAAGGGCCGCAGUAUUUUGACUGUGCAAAGGUAGCAUAAUCAUUAGUUUUUUAAUUGAAAGCUUGUAUGAAUGGUUUGAUGAGAAGAUAGCUUUCUAUAAAUAAUUGUAUAAAAAUUUUAUUUUUAAGUUAAAAAGCUUAAAUUUUGAUAAAAGACGAGAAGACCCUAUAGAGUUUAAUUUACAACAUAAAUUUAGUUUUUAGAAUUUUAAUAAUUUAGUUUUUGGAGUAAAUUUCAUUGGGGUGAUGGAAAAAUAAGAUUAACUUUUUUUAUUAAAUUACAUUAAUUUAUGAAUAUUUGAUCCAUAAAAAUGAUUAAAAGAAUAAAUUACCUUAGGGAUAACAGCGUAAUUUUUUUUAGAGUUCUUAUCGAAAAAAGAGAUUGCGACCUCGAUGUUGGAUUAAAGUUAAAAUUAGGUGUAGAAGCUUAGUUAUUUGGUCUGUUCGACCAUUUAAACUUUACAUGAUCUGAGUUUAAACCGGUGUGAGCCAGGUUGGUUUCUAUCUUUAUUAAAAAAUUAAAUUUUAGUACGAAAGGACCAAAUUUAAGAUUUAAAAUUUUAUAUUUGAAUAAAAUU
This 1282-nucleotide ribosomal RNA is filed under the name Harmonia quadripunctata (cream-streaked ladybird beetle). Its description in RNAcentral is "16S ribosomal RNA". The stretch from base 1043 to 1200 matches the Rfam family "Archaeal large subunit ribosomal RNA", at positions 2544 to 2703 of the family's 2987-position model. The record is from RNAcentral. Lineage: Eukaryota; Metazoa; Arthropoda; Insecta; Coleoptera; Coccinellidae.